RNAcentral lists this ribosomal RNA (531 nucleotides) under uncultured bacterium. Its description in RNAcentral is "bacterial SSU rRNA". It matches the Rfam family "Bacterial small subunit ribosomal RNA", at positions 979 to 1509 of the family's 1533-position model. The record is from RNAcentral.
CCUUGACAUCCAGAGAACUUAGCAGAGAUGCUUUUGGUGCCUUCGGGAACUCUGAGACAGGUGCUGCAUGGCUGUCGUCAGCUCGUGUUGUGAAAUGUUGGGUUAAGUCCGCAACGAGCGCAACCCUUUAUCCUUUGUUGCCAGCGGUUCGGCCGGGAACUCAAAGGAGACUGCCGGUGAUAAACCGGAGGAAGGUGGGGAUGACGUCAAGUCAUCAUGGCCCUUACGGCCAGGGCUACACACGUGCUACAAUGGCGCAUACAAAGAGAAGCGACCUCGCGAGAGCAAGCGGACCUCAUAAAGUGCGUCGUAGUCCGGAUUGGAGUCUGCAACUCGACUCCAUGAAGUCGGAAUCGCUAGUAAUCGUAGAUCAGAAUGCUACGGUGAAUACGUUCCCGGGCCUUGUACACACCGCCCGUCACACCAUGGGAGUGGGUUGCAAAAGAAGUAGGUAGCUUAACCUUCGGGAGGGCGCUUACCACUUUGUGAUUCAUGACUGGGGUGAAGUCGUAACAAGGUAGGCGUAGACGU